CUAAUACGUCCGAUGACGCGUCGAAAUUACUGUUUGUUUGCGCGACUCUACCUGCGCACCUCUUAUUACCGAUCGAGAUUUAAACAGGUAUAUCUUCGAUCGGAAAUCAAACAAGCUGCAGUUACCGCGCGCAAAUAAGCGCGAUAUAGACAGCUGUAUGAGAUAUAAAGCGAAUGCAAACUAAAGUAGGGCGCGACAAUGCGGCAUAACGAUCAGAGGUAAAUAUAUUGCGAAACGAGUGAUCGGUAUUAUGAGAAAAAAACAAUCAAGUCAGGAAUUACAAUGUAUAUAAAUGGUCGCGUAAUGGCGCUUUUCGAGAGCUAAUCAUACGAAAAUACACCGGUUUCUCGGAACGAGAUCUGUUUACAAUAUCUCGACGCCGUUAAGGAGAAAAAAAUCUGUCAUUGAAAUUCAACAAACUAGGUGUUAACCUACAUCCGACGAUAAAUCCUUGAACUGUGCGAGAAGCAUCACUCGAUGUUGCAUCUUAUCUCCGAUGUAAUAGCUUCUCUUUUUUCCACACUUUUCAAGCGUGAUCUCGCGGUUUUACAGGUUUCUCGACCUCCAGUCGCGUCGACAAUAAGCGAUUAUAAAUCUUCGCAAAACGGGUCGCAAAAGACGAGCAUAACGAAUCACGGUUCGGAGAAGAAAAAAAAAGGUAUAAGUGAUUCCCCGCGAGACAUACCUACGCAUAAUCAGGGUACUCCCCCAAACGGCUCGAGAUGAGCGAGAGAAACGGUACCGCACGUCGCCUGACUCGCAAAUGAAGCUCGACCCAGUAUACACGCACAUGCGCACGUGCUUCUCUCCGUACACGUACGUGCAUGUAUAGUAUGUUGUACGAAAAGAAAAAGGAAGCACAGAGCUCGCUGCGUCACAUAUUUCACACCUCUCGUUAGACGCCAACGCGUAACGAUUUAUCAUCCGUCACCCGGAGCUCCGUGACAAACAACUGACGCGAAUCACGAGUCCUCUGCAUCCUCUGCUCGUUCGAUGAUGCGGAUUUCGCUUUUUUUCUUUCUCCAAACUGCCCACGACGACUAUUCGGCGUAAACUAUCACACGCACUUUAUUCUUGUUUUUACUCAAUCGGAUGUAAUCGUGAUUUAUGUCUGUCGGAAACGCGCGUUAAAAGAGUGGGAGGAUUUAUGGCAGUCGCGGGGAAUCCCAAAAUGCAAUUGUGUAUGCUUUAUUGUACAGCCGAUCUCUGUAAUUGAUGGACAACACAGCAUAGUGUAAUCGCUGCAUCGGAUCAAUCAAUUCACACGGCUAAUUGAAAGCCCCUGCUGUACACGUUGAAACUUUUAUUGUGUCAGUGUAAGCGCAGUGUGCGCGGCUUUAUUCGAAUUCAAUCCAAGGCCGCUCAAUUAUCUACGGUCCACGACUGGAGAUAAUCGAAGCGUUAUACUUCGGUCCCGUAACCCAAUUGCACAAACGAGAGCUUUUCAAGAAGCUAUAGUGAGAGAGAAAAAAUCAGCGAGUAAUUUGGAAAGUCCAGCAGCCUACUCUGCCGUUGCCGAGAGGAAAUUUCAUCAGAUCGAGCAUAUAUACGGCCGCAGGCUCGAAACGGCUGCAACUAUAUACACUGCAUUAUGGCAAUUUACGCAAUCUACAAUAAGUUGAAAAUUGGUCCUACUGCACAGGGCGAAUUCAAUGUCACGACUCCGACGUACGUAUACGUAUAUGUGAUGCUGCGGAUACCUCUUUCGCAAUUCUCCGUUGAAGGAAUUGGACAAUUUGGCGUUUUAAAUAAUAAUAAGCGCGAUAUGAUGCAGGGGGUUAUGCGCUGUUAUUGAGUAUAUGGAAGAUUUCGAAUUAUGCCGCGCGGGCGAAGCGAGACGACGACGAGAAGAGAAAAUAUGGUUUAUACGUUGCUGCGGGACGCACUUAUACGUAUACGUACGAUCGGCGGGUUCAGUAACCUAUGCACCGAGAGAACGCGGAGAGAAGAUUACCGGACUGAACGGUAAUCUAGAAAGCUAGACCUACGGAGGCUCGGAGGAAAAAAUCGACCGAAUUCGUGCAGUGCGACGAACGGCUUUUCCCGCGCGCGCGAGAUCGUUAAUCAUUUCUAUACUCAGAGCCGCAAACAAUAGGCACAAACGUGUGUCCUUUCGAGAUAUCAAGGACUCCGUAUAAAGGAAAAGCAACUCUCUCGGGCGCGCGCGGCGAGAAAAAGUGAAGAAAAAGAGAAAACGCUCGGGUCAGGCCCCUUGGCUUAUCAGCAGCUCUUUAUCAGCAGUCCGGGCACACGCGCGCUGCGAGAAAAUAGGAUCGCGCGUAUGCAGGUGUCCGUACGCGCACGAGUAAGGAAAAAAAAAGGUUCAACGCACGCUACUCUCUCGGGUAUACAUACGCACGUCGGGCGAUCUUUUCACCGCAGAGCACAGUAGCGCCGGAGAUAUGUCGGGGUAGAAAGGCGCGCGCAAGGAUUGACCCAAUAACACAGAUAGGUGCUCGCGGAGCCGCCGACACCGCAAGAGAAAUUACACACUCUGCAACGCGCGCCUUUUUUUCGUCACUUUCCGAUCGCUCUUUAAAUUUCGCGCCGCGUCGUAUUGUUGUCGUUUUCCUCGUUAACGCGAGAAACGCAAAAUAUAUAAAUCAGAGAAUUCAAAAGUCGCGGUACAAUUACGCGUCGUUAAAACCUUUCGGCCAAUUACGCCGCCGUCGACGAGUCGGCUUUAGUAUACCGAGAAUUAUAAAAGAUUUAACGAGGGACGUAAGGAUUUUUCAACUUUUGCCCAACGCGCGGCGCUCAUCGAGCAUUGCUGAAGCAACAUCCUUUGUUUCGACAAAAAAGCGCGUGCAUACGUGUUAUUAUCCGUUACGAAGUUAACGGUAGGAUAAAAAUAUGCCGCCGUCACACAUACGAUAUGUCGAUCAAUUGGACUUUAUAUCGCGAAAAAAAUUUUUAAUGAGAUGAAUAACGGCGCCAAGCGGUAUAUCCACGUCGAGUUAAUAAAGGCACGAUGUUAUUCACGGCUUUUCCGCAUAUGCGAGGCAUUGAAAAUUCUCGAUUGCGCGCUUGUACAUUGUUCUGUCCCGUCGGCUUUUAUCAUCUGCUGUAUGUGUGCGUAUGUGUGUGUGUGUGUCCGCUCAUUUGAGUCAUAUUUUCGAUUAUCUCUCUCGUCGUUGUUUGGAGAAAGCUCUCUCGGGCCCAGCCCGUAUUUUCACAGCUAAUCUUCUCUCUUUCUCUCUCUCUCUCUCUCUCUCUCUCUCUCUCGGUAUCGUCAAAAUCAGUGUGUGUUUUUCAAAGCGCACAAGCUACCGUCCGUUUAUCUUCUAUUUUUAUCCGGACGGAUAUUUACCAUCGGCCGCCGCCGAUGAGGCGAUAAUCGAUUUCGCGUUAUAAUUACACCGCGCUCUCGGCGUAGUAAAUAGCCGCUCAUUCAUAGCAAAGCCGCAUCGAUGACCGGGCAUUAACAGCUGUACACGCUUAGCAAUUCAACGAGACGCGCAGCAUCUCUCGCAUUGUUGUAAAUGCUGCGCCUCUUUUAAGCUGCAUAAAUCAAGCGUACAGUAUAACGAACGACGAUCAAGUUUGAGCUAAUAACACGUGAUCGGCCGCUCUACUUUCGCUGCUACCUACUCCGAGUUUUCAUAUUCCAAAAACGCGGGCGGAGAGAGAGAGAGAGUAUAAGCUAGUCUCGCAAUCGAAGCGAAUCGAUCGCGCACACACACACGAGCUGAGGCCCUUGGGUCGAUGAGCCGUUUGAGAAACGGCCAAGUUUCGUAUACACGGCGAAUUUUUCGGGAGAAACGCGAGCAUAUGCAUGCAACGGUUUGUCGAACGCUGGAUGACAUUGAAACGCGGGAGUGGAUCGCAUGUCAACGAUCAUAUAAUGCCUCAUAGCUCGCUCUCUCUCUUUCGUGUACGAGCGUAUCCGUAAUAAUCAACAAACUCUCGUCUUAAAUUAACGGCUCUCUCUCUCUGUCUCUCCGCAUAACAGGUGCACUUCAGCAGUGCUACGGUCUUGUUCGCAUGUGCCGAUUAGCCGUAAUACGCUAAACGGCUCUCCCACGAAUUACGCCGCGACGUCACGCACAAUGACAUUACGACAGAGAGAUGAGAGAGAGAGAGAGAGAGACGCGAGAGCGCGUACCAUAUAGGAAACUUGGCUUCUCACUCUCGAGGGGGUUGCAGAUGUGGUCGCCUCUUUUUUUACAGCUGCGCACUCGAAUGCCAAGAGCCGCUCUGAGAUCUUGACUCCCCGAGCGCCUUGUUGCGGAGGAGAGAGUAUAGAGCGAUUGAAUGAGGAAAGCGAUUGAGAGAGAGAGAGAGAAGAGGGGACAAGUAGUAACGAACCGUGCGAGCCAGACGAGAGGAAAGUAGCUCUCGCGCACACGCCCGAGAAGAGAAAGACGGCGCAAGAUACCGAGGAGAGGGACACGACUCGUCGCUCGUAUAUCCGGUUGGCCGUGACUAGACCAUCGCCCAUCAAGCGAGAGAACGCGCGAGAUGCGAAGCCAGGCCCUUUCCCGAGCGCAGCUCCAUAAAAGAAGCUUCUGCAUUUUUCAAAAAAACAACUACCGCAGUGGCUCUCAUCGAUCGCCGCCUCUACACUCUCUCGCAUAUAUACUCGUACACUCUGAGCGCAGGCUGCACACGUGACCGCACAGCUCUCGCGCGCGUGUGCGAGGAAGAGAGCCGAGCCUCUCUCUCUCUCUCUUUCCUUCGCAUCAUCAUCAUCAUCAGCAGCAGCAGCGGCUGUACGGCAGUAGUAACAGACGAGCGCGCGCCGCAGCUGCCGCUCAAAACUUUUCGGCCGCGCGAGCGCGCGCACCUACAUCGCCAAUUCACACGCGAUAUCGCCCCCCGCGCGCCGCGCGACGAGAGCACAUAGCUGAGCGAGAGAAAGAGAGGCAGUAGCUGUUACUCCUUCUCCGAGCUCCGUCAGACACGCGCUGUUAUAUUCGGAGAGUCUGUGUGUGUGUGUGUGUGAGAGAGAGAGAGAGAAGCGCGUUUCCAUUCCCAGAGCGGGACACUACUUACUCCGCCGAGUGUUGUGUCCGAGGCUGUGCGCGUGUGUGUUGACGAUUUUUCGUACAUCUGUGAGGUGCAGCGACGAUGCGCAGCCUGCAGUGAUACGGGGAAAAGUGUGCAAGUGCAUCGAAAGUGCCUAUAGAGUAUAAGAUUGAAGCUGCUGUAACAACAGCCCGGAGGAGAUGGAGGUUCCAGUGGUGACGACUCAGCCGACGUCCUCGGGGCCCAGCGGCACGACGAUCUUGCUCCUGGCGAAGAUCGGCUCGAUGUUCGUGCUGGGCCUGGGCUCGCUGAUCCUGGGCAUGCUGCCGCUGAUAAUCGGCCGGUGCCGGGUGAAGAAGAGCGAGAACCGCAGGGCCAUAACGAGCGUGUCCAGCGCCUCGACGACCCUCAGCUCCGCCUCGACUCUCACCGUCCACUCGCACGACUCGACGCAAGCAUCGCGGCGCGCGACAGGCGAGGGAAAGAAAGGUGUACAAACAAAGAACAAAACCUCUCCAGGGUCUGCUGACGUCGCUGCUCCUCUGCUUCGGCGGCGGAGUCCUGCUGUUCACGACGUUCCUGCACCUGGCGCCGGAGGUCCGGGCGAGCGUCGAGCUCCACCAGUCGAACGGCCAGCUGGCCAACCUCGGCAGCCUCAGCCUCGCGGAGCUGCUCUUCUGCUGCGGCUUCUUCUUCGUCUACCUGGUCGAGGAGGCGGUCCACGCGGCCCUGACCGACAAGCCCGAGUCCUCGGAGACGCUGCUCUACCGCACGGUCUCGGUGCGCCGCUGCAACAACAACAGCGGCCACCCGAACAACAACAACAACAACAACACCAGCAGCAGCGGCACCAGCAGCGCCCAGCGCAACUCCCUGUCGGCCCAGCCGCGCGGCUGGCGCGCCGAGAGCUCCGACGCCGAGGAGGAGUGCGCGAACGAGGCCCAGCAGCAGCCGAAGCAGCUGGCGCCGAUGUUCGUGCUCUCGCAGAACGCGGCCGCGGAGCUCGAGGCCGGGGGCAAGCCGCUGGUCAAGGACAGCCUCGCCGCGGCCGCCGGCCUCGGGCACACCCACGCCGGCUCGAUGCGCAGCCUCCUCACCGUCCUGGCCCUCUCCUUCCACGCGAUCUUCGAGGGCCUGGCGGUGGGCCUCGAGCCGGCCUUCAGCUCGGUCGUCUACCUGGCCGCGGCCAUAGCCACCCACAAGCUCGUCAUCUCCUUCUGCGUGGGGAUGGAGCUCUACGUGGCCGGCGCCUCGAACCGCACGAUCCUCGGCUACCUCAGCGUCUUCUCCAUGGUCACGCCCCUGGGCAUCGGUAUCGGCCUCGCGCUCGGCCACUUCCGCAACGACAGCGAGACCCUCGGCCCGACGCCGACGAUACUCCAGGGCAUGGCAGCGGGCACCCUGCUCUACGUCGUCUUCUUCGAGGUGCUGGCCAGGGAACGGGCCAACGAGAAGAGCGGCCUGCUCCAGCUCGCGGCCAUCCUCGUCGGCUUCAUGCUCAUGCUCGGGCUCCAGCUGGCCACUGCCCACGCGCACAAUCACGGACACUCGCACAGCCAUGGCGAUGAGCACGGGGACAUCCACAAUCACGAGGGCGAACAAUUGGCAGGUGAUAAGCACAACUAUGUUUUAGGCGCUGCCAUCGAGCGAGUAACGGACAAGGUCGUCGAUGUUUUAUCGACUACUCUGACGUAACCAGCACAAGACUAUAGCAAGAAGAUGAUCGCCGACUAGAUUCUCCGCCACACAGGCCGCAUAUAGACUCAUUCAUCUUGGUCCACGCGAGGAGCACCCGCAGAGAGAGAGAGAAUUAUAUAUUUUUUAUCAGUAUACAUAAUAUAGGCAUGUUAAAACACAAAGUGCUACACAGAGGCAGAAGACGAUAUAGUACGGAGAGGAAAUGGACGCUCUGCGCGCGGAGAGAGCCGCGUGUGUUUUUGUAUAUACACGCUCGAUAGGCAAUCUAUACAUAUAGUUAUUCGACGCGACGUAGGCUUAAGCGUUACUUUUUUAUUUUAAUUUAUCUUAAUUCUACACGUGUAUUAUACGUUCUCAAUGGUUAGUCUGCGCAAGCGAACUUGUUAGUUCAACGCGUGUAUUCGAUUAUUUCGUUCUCCUUUUAAUCAUCAGAGAGUGAUAAAGUGAUAAGCAUAAGUGUCCAGUGCGUAAGUCGUUCGGAGGAGAAAUGUGAUAACGUUCACAUUGUUUUGUGCAUUUAAGAGGAUAAAAAUUUAUCGAGGCGCCUUGUGUAAAAUCAAGACUUUUUUCUUAUCGCGUUAAACUAGUGAGACGAACUAGCGAAAUAUGUCGUUACUUCUGUACUGUUACCGAAGAAAAAAGUUUAUAUUUUUACUUUCCAUGCAAUACCUUGUGUAAGAUACGUUAAUCUCUAGGAUAUUAGCUGUUAAUAAAUUACUCAACAACACGUCGUUUUCUUAUAAAGACUAUUAUAAUAUAUUAUAAAUAGAUUAUUAUACACUAUUUUGUUUAUGAAGUAUCUACAAUGAUCGGCGAUGAAAAAAAAAAUACAAAUGUAAUUUUAACGGAGAUGAAUAUAAUUUUUACGAAUCGACCAUAAUCUGUUGCAUUAGUCAGUUCUUCUUUUACAUCAUCGUCCUCUUUUUCCUAGUUCUAUUGUGAUAUUAUUUGUACAUUGUCAAAAAAAGAGCUUGAAGCUUGAUAUAGAUUUUUUAGCAAUCUA
This is an RNA transcript of Nasonia vitripennis (jewel wasp), 7669 nucleotides long. It is a transcript of the gene named zinc transporter ZIP3, with no coding region annotated. Lineage: Eukaryota; Metazoa; Arthropoda; Insecta; Hymenoptera; Pteromalidae. The record is from RefSeq and is a predicted model, not a curated record. The transcript is spliced from 5 exons.